This 422-nucleotide ribosomal RNA is filed under the name uncultured Glomeraceae. Its description in RNAcentral is "SSU rRNA". It matches the Rfam family "Eukaryotic small subunit ribosomal RNA", at positions 459 to 886 of the family's 1831-position model. Lineage: Eukaryota; Fungi; Glomeromycota; Glomeromycetes; Glomerales; Glomeraceae. The record is from RNAcentral.
GGGAGGUAGUGACAAUAAAUAACAAUACAGGGUCCUUUUGGGUCCUGUAAUUGGAAUGAGUACAAUUUAAAUCUCUUAACGAGGAACAAUUGGAGGGCAAGUCUGGUGCCAGCAGCCGCGGUAAUUCCAGCUCCAAUAGCGUAUAUUAAAGUUGUUGCAGUUAAAAAGCUCGUAGUUGAAUUUCGGGGUUAGUAAGUUGGUCAUGCCAUUGGUAUGCACUGGCUUUACUGAUUCCUCCUUCUUGACGAACCGUGAUGUCAUUAAUUUGGUGUUGCGGGAAAUCAGGACUGUUACUUUGAAAAAUUAGAGUGUUUAAAGCAGGCUAACGCUUGAAUACAUUAGCAUGGAAUAAUGAAAUAGGACGUUUGAUCCUAUUUUGUUGGUUUCUAGGAUUGACGUAAUGAUUAAUAGGGAUAGUUGGG